Camelus dromedarius (Arabian camel) is the source of this 10755-nucleotide long non-coding RNA. RefSeq lists it as uncharacterized. The transcript has 2 exons. The record is from RefSeq and is a predicted model, not a curated record. Lineage: Eukaryota; Metazoa; Chordata; Mammalia; Artiodactyla; Camelidae.
UGUUAGCACACAGGAUAGGCAAGGGGUCACCGCUACAUGAGUCCCCGGGAAGGGGUGGCCCUGCUCCUUCUCGGCUGUUGCCCUGACAGUCACCACUGACUGAGCAGCCGGAGGCAGCACCCGCUGCUGCUCCAGGCAUGUGAGUGCAGGGGGCCCAGUCCCUGUGGGACCGAGGCAGUGGGCAAAUAUGCUGAGGGACCCAGGGUGUGAUACUGUGAUUCCAGACCCUUGGGCUUCCCAAAGGACAAGCGCAGCAGGAGAGUUCUCGCAUUAGAACAUUGUCAUCGAUUCCCAAAAUUGCUCCCGAGCCAUCCAGGGAGAGCUGGUGUCUUAUGGUAGCGAGGUGAUGUUUUGGAAGGCCCUAAGGUUGGGGACUAGUGGCUAGGGGGCCCAGCCAUGUGAUUAGAGGAUUGGAACUUGGACCCACUGCUAGAGCUUCAGGGAUGGAAGAGGGGCUGGAUGUGGAAUCAGUCACCAGUGGUCAGUGAUUGAAUUAGUCAUGCCUGUGGAGUGACGCUUCCAUAACACCAGAAGGACGGGGUUUGGAGGGCUUCCAGGUUACUGAAUGAGGAUGCGUCUGUGCUGGGAGGAGGGCGCAUCCCAGCUCCAUGGGGAUGAGCUCCUGUGCUUGGCACUCAUAGACCUCACCCUGUGGAUCUCUACAUCUGGCUGUGGAUUCGUGUCCUUUAAUAUCCUCUGCAGUAAGCUGGUAAUGUAGUGAGUGGACUGGUUUCCUAAGUUUUGUGAGCUGCUGUAGCAAAUUAACAGAACCAAGGAAGAUGUGUUGGCAACCUCCGACUUAUAGCCAGUGGUUAGAAGCACAGGUGCCCACCUGGACUUGCAGUGGCAUCCGACAUGGGGCGGAACACGGGUUCCUGGGUUCACCUCCUAAAUAGAUCCUGGGAUCUGCUUUCGAAGGAAGUGCAGACAGGCAGUGAUGCACUGAUGGGGUGGAGUGGGUGUCCCUGCCGCCGGCAUGAGUCCUGCACCAGUGCUGGGUGAGUGGGCACGUGGCCGCCACGUGGCGUUUCCUCCUGGACCGUGCCUGUGAUGUGGCCGUUGGUCAUGAGGUGUGGAGUCCAGGUGGCUCACGUUACUUCCCUAAGCUUCUCGUCGCCCACAUCCCUGCUCAUGGUUGUCUUGUUCUCGCAGACGGAUCAUAGCUGCCACGUGUAAGGCACCUCCAGGAAGAGCUGCUCAGUCAUUGUUUUCCCUUCACUUAGCAGUUCCCUCCCACCUCCUGUUUCUGCUGCUUGAGGGCUGGGGACCAGUGCUCAGCCCUUAGGGGCCUGAGAGCUGGAACCCACACACCUUUCCACCUGUGGUCCUGUGGCUGGGAUGAGGCCCUUCAGAUACCACCUCCCUCUCUUCCAUGUGAGAGCUGGCGCUGAAGGAGACCCUGGAGAUACUUGACCCCCACCUGUAGGUCAGCAAGGCCUGUACACUCAGGGGGGCUGGCAUCAGCUGGUGAGGAGGGGCGUCUCCAAAAGCCGUGUGUCUGUCCAACUUUUAAAAUUAGAUAAUAGCAUAUUUAGAAGUUGUGAUUUGGAUUUUUGUGCUUCAUAGAAUGUUUUACUAUCACAAGAAAGAGAAAAAUAGAAUAAUGCCAGUAGGGAUGAAUGAGAUCUCACACCGUUUUUUCCUCCACACCGGAGCCUGGUGAAGGAAGACAGCACAGAACAUUCGGAGGUGCUGAAAUUGACAACGCUGAAAUGGAAAGUUUGGCUAAAUUUUUAAUAAUAUUUUGUGGGUUGUUUAUCUGCCCCUAAAAACAGGUAUUCAUCGGGAAAGCAGUUCUUUCCUGCAGUACUUCACCAUUUGUUGUUGUUGCUAUAUCUGUACAGAAAUGUUGCUUUGUAGGUUUACUGUGAAAACUGUACUCUUUUUUUCGCCCUCCGUGUGAAACUGAGUGGGUCACAGGCAGAAAAACAAGCAGGCGGUGGCUUGUUUGAACCUGUCUGAGUUUAGCAAGUCCUUGGCAUCAGGGAGCCUCUCACAGGCCAUCCAAACCUUGAUCUGCCUUUUGGCAGAAGUGAUUUUCAACAUUUUCCUAUUACACUUGUAGUAUUUUCUAUAAAGGGCAAGUGUGCACGUAUUUCUCACUUAACAUCAGUAACCCAUCCUGAAAAUCAGACAUUCUGCAUGAAAACACUGAGUCUAUUUCUCAUCAUAUUAAGUCGGGGAAAUUAUUAACACAGUCAAUCUCCUAAAACACAACUGAGACACUGGUGAAAGACCUUUAUGUGAGAAAUAGGCCAUCCUGUUAGGAUGUAAAACGUGGUUCCCUGAUUUCUAGAGAACUGCUGUGGGGUAUUUGCUGUUGCUGUUCCUGGGGUCACGCCCAGAGCCCCUGUGUUGGCGGCACGUCAGCAACCCAGCUGACACCUUUCAGAUGCGUGUGCAGCGUGCUUCUCCUGAUUGAACUGGGAAUCCAGCUUGAGGGUUUUUUUUUCCCUGCAUGUUGUUUUGAGGAAAUUGUUGCUUUACUUUUUUGACAUAAAUACAAAAUUUACCCCUUUAACAACCAUUGACUGAAAUACGUAUUAGAAGAAUUAUAUGACUUAUGAACUUUUAAACUAUCAGAAACCAAAAGGCCUUCUACCAAAAGCAUUGAUCAGGAUGACUUCCGGAGGUGUGCCCGUGUUUGUGGUAUGACUGAUGUUAAUAGACGACGAGGUUAAGGAGGUGUUUUUUCUGCAUUUUGAAAUAAUUUGUGUGGUGGAAAUGAAAUUUAAAUUAAUUCAAAAAUACUCUGGACUCUAUCUCCAAUUUUUCCCACUGAAGAUAAUUUUUAAGGAAGGCAUAUUGGUUUUCAGGGAAGGACGGCAGAUUGAACACGUGCACACAGUGUCGCUGCCUGCCACCCAUCCCUAAACGAGCAGUAGAGUGAUGUUUGAAAAAGUCAUACUCACAUGACUGGGUGAAGUGAGAGGAGACGAACACAGUCUUGAGAGCUGGGAAGCUGACGGGUGAGUCAGGACUGACUUAGCAGGUCUGAGAAAGCCAGGUUCUGUGUUGGCAGAGAGGACAGCUGAGCACUGGUCCUGUCUGCAUCACAGAAUCCUCAAAAGGCUCAAAAUUUAGAGGCACCGGGGACUUUAAAAAAAUGAGAGAGAGAAUCACAGUGAGGAGCAGAAAACAAGAGGCUAACAAGAAGGAUUAGGAAGACUUGAAAGGGACCAAAUAGAAUCUCUAGAAGCAAAUAAUAGUUGACAUUUAAAAACUGACCAACAGGCUAAAUAUCAGAGUAUGCAUAGUUGAAGAGAGACUUUGUAGACAAGCUGAAAGGAGUUUAUUAAGAACAGCAAAGAGUUAACAGAAUAGAAAAUAUGGCAGAAAUUGGUUGGGAUGUGGAGGACAGAAUGCAGAAGUUUAAGAUGCAUUUGAUUUCAGCCCCGAAAGGGAAGAUAGAACGGAGAAGAGGCGAUAUGUGAAGAACCGUUGGCUGAAAAAUAAUCUGGAACUAAUGAAAGAUAUGAUGGAAAUAGUUUAUUUCAAACAGGAUGAAUAGCAUCCACAUUGAGAAACAUCACAGCAGAGCUCCAGGCACCAGAGACCAAGACAGGAUUUAAAGCAACCAGAAAUGAGACCCUCCAGCCAGACGGCAGGUCCUGACAUGGCUCCUCUGCAGUCUCAGCACCCGCGGACCACAGUGGGAGCGAUCUGAGACACUGGCCUCCCGCAAGGUUACCUUUUCAGAGCUAGGUAGAAAUAUUAGUUUCAGAUAAACAAAGAAAGCGUGUUUACUACCGACAUUCUUCAUCAGAGACAGAAUGUGAUGCAGAAUGGAAUGGUUAACAAGUGAUGAACAUGUUUGCAUGAGAUAAUUAUACAUCGUAGGUUCAAAAGAGAGACCGCACGGCAGCAGCGUGGGUGAGGAUGAAGUUGAGAAUCUCCGAGAGAGAGCCGGCUUGGAAACCAGAGAAGAAUAUUAAAGCCUGGGAAGCCCAUUACCUGGAAAAUAACAGUUUCAGAGUUGGGACAGGGAGGAUAGUGACGGCAAGUCACCAGCAGGGUCAUGGGGAGAACAUCAAGGCCGACUGCGCGGACGGGCAGAAGACUGCAGGGCGCUCAGAGAUGCGGGCCAACUCAAGGUCGGGAAGCUUUGGGCUUCUUAGUGGCAAUUCUGGAAUUUAGAUGUCCGUGAAGCAGUAAGUUCAAAAUUUUGAAGGAAAGUGACUUUCCAUACAGUCCUGUUUACUCGUGGAAACUGCUGGAGGCCUGGGGGUUUGCCCCGCCCUCCCUGUCCUGGAAGUGACUGAGCCAGUCUUUCCCAGACAGGGUAGUGAUGGGGAGCUGAUCCUUGGGGCUCAGGGUGUGCUGUGAAGGGAGGCCCCGGAAAGGGCGGUGCCCCUGUGGAUAGAGCCAUCUCAGUCCUUGAAACCAGGCACAUGGACUGCUGACCAUGGCAGAGCCAUCGGUACCGUGCGUGUUCACACACUGGAAGCAGAGCAGACCUGGGCAUCACGCAUGUCUACCUCACAGUGUGUCCGCAGGUUCUCCGAUGCAGCUGCCGCCCCGUGUCCAGGAGCCUCAUGUUUUUCAGCUCUCAGGUUUGCAUGUGAGCCCUUUUGAUGGAUUCCAGUUCUUAGGUGAAAUUCUUCAUCCAUCGUCUGUUUUCACGAAUCCAUUAGUUGGGGGUAUUUUAAAGUCCCUGCGUUGCUGCAGGGUCCCCGUGACACUGGCGGCCAAGCCAGACUCGCUUCCGGGGCUCUGCCGGCCACACUGCCGCUCGGUGCCUGCCUGCCUGCCCCCCAGGGGAUGUCCGGGCUCAGCUGCAGAGCAAUGCCCACCCCUCCAGGGGCUCCAGGGUCCUGGCUGUUGGGUAGCAUUUCCUUGCCUUCAAAGAGAUUUCUUUAAAACUUCUUUAAAAUCUGGUUUUCUACUUGUCCUCAGCAAGAGUUUUGGCUGCUGAUGGCUCUUCUGCCAUUGGGUGGAAUGUAUCAGCUGGGGGCCUUAAGAUCGGGUACACGUGGCUGCUGAGGUCUUCCGCCCUUGUGGUGCCCCUGGAGUCCCGCCAGCUGAGGCAGAGAAAACCAGGUGAUGUGGAGGACUAGGUCAGUGGCCGCGAGGGGCCCCAGGAUGGAUCGAAGCUCUGCAGCCCCUGUAGCUGCUUGCUAGCUGCUUGCUCUUUGUGGCCUUUGCUGUGGGAACUUUAGCCCCGUCCUGAAGCCUCUCUGCCUGUCAGCUGGGGCUUGGCCAUGUGAUUCUUGCUGGCACAGUGCCGUGCUGGUGCAGGAGCCCAUGCCCAUGUCUGCUUUGGCUGCAUCCCAACAAUUCCUGCCCAGCAGGCUCCGCUCUAGGCCAAGUCCCUGGGAGACCGAGGCAGAGCCAUGCUGUGCAUGGCUGUCAUGUGGAAUGAGCAGAGGAAGCACUGCUUAGGGUCUGGGUGGUUGGUGCCUGCGCAGGACGUGCCCACUGAGCAUCCUCAUGCCUGGAGUGGCUGCCCUGUGUAUCACAAGAGAGGGAGCUGGCGCCUCGGUGCUCAGUGCUGCAGGGCGGCAACUGCGGGGUCUGUCCAGAGGCAUCACAGUUGUGACUUUUACAAAAUGCAAUUUAAAUGCUUCAAAUUUUGAAUUACUCUACUAGCAAACACUCUUGACUGUUGGACCCUGGAAGGUAUCACACCAUCCAAAAUAAACCCUUCCUUUAUAGCCAGCCAGACCUGCCUGCCUCAUGUCUGCGUGACCUGGACCGUCUCACCUUGGUCAUGAGUCUCCCCUUGGCUGGGGGGCCUUGCAGAGCUUCUGGGCUCACAGCCUGGCGAGGGCUCUCUGCUACCCACAUGGUGCUGUCGUCUCGGUCACUGCAGGUCAGGAUUCCUGCAUCCCAGGGAGGCUUGUGCAGGAGGCGAUGCUCAAGUUAAUGCCACGGGACAGACCGGCUUCCUGGGUGCCCUGCCUUCCUCGAGUUUGGGGCCUACGCUGGGAUGGUAAAGGGUGUGGUGCAAGUUGCUGACCUUCACAAGACAGUAGGGCUUCACUCAGGCGGUGCCCCUCCAUCUCACAGAGGGACACAUUGAGGCUGGUGUGCACAGGGCUGUGCUGAGUGCUGGGGAAGACGGACGUGGACUGGACUUGGACCGACCAGGCCGUGAAGGGCUGUGCGGCCCUGGGGGUCCCCAGGGUGAGCGCUUGUGGAGACAUGAGGUAGGCAGAGAGACUGGUACCAGAGGCGGCUGAAAGUCGUGCUGACAACAUCAUACCUGCCUUUGAAGGUUAAAAAAAAAAAGGACCCUAAGACUUCAGGGUCUGCUGGUGGCAUUUAGGACAGACUUGGAAGGGAGCACAUAGGGCACCGAGGACGUCCUCCCAGGGCUGUUUGAGAAGGAGCUGGAUGCCUUGGUCCUCUCCCUCGCUCCCCGGAGUUGACAACUGCCUCCUUGUUCCAGGGAGAGGGACGGGUCCUGGGAGUGGGGACUCUACCACCCGUGAGGGUGAGGUUGAGAUGGCCAGGCCUUUCCCUCUGCACCAGCUGUUUUGUUUUUUUUUGGUGGUAGUGGUAGGGGGAGGAUCCAGUCAGCCAAGAAGAGCCAGAGAGGCUUACACCAGGCCCUGUCCAGUGGCCCAGCACAUCCACCCACCCAAGAUCCAGAGCCAAGCUUUUGACAGGAAGUGGAGAAGCAUCGUCAGUGUCUCGGAGGUAAAUGAAAUCGACGUGGUCAUCCAAAAGGAGAACAGGAGGACCGAGGAACAGAGGGCGACUUCAACAGUGACCCUGCCAGCGCACGAGGCAGACUGGUCAGCCGCCUUGCAGGAGUCGGGGAACCUCAGGAGCAAGACUGACACAUAAACUGUGACCCCCUCAAAAACAGUCCGUUUGCUGUCCAGGUGGAAUAAAGGCAUUUUCAGAUGUGUACAUUUUCAAAACUUUAUCUCCCACCUGCCCUUUUUCAGGAAAAAGAAGAGAUGGAGCCAGGAAAACACUCUCACAGAAGGGAGACACAGUCCCAGGACGGCAGUGCCCAGGGCCUGGCCACCCUGCCUGCCGGGCCUCCAGGGUCGCUUGUCAGCGGCUUAUGUGACUCUAGUGUCCCCUCCGCUUCCAUGCUGGUGGACUCUGCCUGUGCCUUUCUGGGGCUCACCUGGGACUCGCCCCGCUGCUACUGUGCUCAGCCCUCUGUGGUCCUGGCCCGUGUCCUGGCGGCUGAGGGCCGGGUGAGGAUGGAUGCUGGGGGAGAUGAUUCUUGCUUUCUGGACCACAUUCUGGGUCAACAGGCUGCUGACGUGAGAACUUGCAGAGUCUUGGUGGGAAGAGAGGCCACUGAAAAGGUGGUGAAGGUCCCUGGGGCGUGCCGUCUGUGAUGGCCAGCAGGAGCCUGCCUGCCGGAGCUCUGGCUCACACCUCUCAGGAAGAAGUGCUCUGGAGAUUCCCAGCUAAAAUGAGGCCCCCGUACCCCACCCAUGGAGCCCUCUGCCCCACUUUGUCGUCUUGCUUUCCUGCACCAGCUUUGCCUUCGGUGCACUUGCUGUUCGUUUAAAAACAAGCAAAACAGCUUUGACCUCUACCCCUAGGCUGCAUCCCUGAACCUUCCAUCCUUCCUCCUUGGUCAUGAGCCCAUCCCCCACUGCCUGUCUCCAGGGGCCGCCAGCACCCUCUCCCACACCCCUACCUCCUCCAGCCCUCACCUCAUUCAUCAUGCCUGUAGACACAUUGGUCAGGAAAAGUGGGAUUACUGCUGUGUGCUGAUUUCUCCUAAACUUGCAUCCAAAACUCAGAUCUCUUCCCGAACCACAGGUGCCUGUGGCUGAGCAGCUGCUUGAUGCACAAAGUGCCUCGCCUGCCUGCUGGAGAGCGUCGUCCAGCACCGUCCAGCACCGUCCAGCCCUGUCCAGCUCCAUCCAGGUGGCACUGCCCCACUGCCCUGGCUCAGCCCACGCCACCACAUGGGUUGUUGUCUGUAUACCCAUUUGGGCUGCAGGCGGGGUGCUGGGAGGCGGGACACCCACCACAUGGGAUGCUGUGGAGACUUGAGGUGCUGCAGCGCCCACAGCAGAUGACACCCAACUCUGAACGUGUAGAAAACUGUGGAGAGAGAACCAGCAGCUCUGGGGAUCAGGGAAAUCCAGUGGGAAUCUUGAGGAACACACGGCCUUGUCUGCGCAGUUUAAAACUACAGGGGACUGACUGACAGGGUUGGGAAACGGCACCUGCAUGCUGGAUGGGAGCUGGGUUUAGGGCAGACAUGGAGAGCUGGCAGCUGUGGCUGUCCGCAGGCCCAGGUUUGCUCGGAACUGCUGGCUGGCAUGUUCUGUUGUCUGCUCACCUAUGGGUUAUCAGUUACUGCGGGAGUGGUCUGAGAUCUCCCACCAUGACCGUGUCUAUGUCUCCCUUUGGCUUGGCUGUCUCUAUGCCUGAGGCUGUGUUGUCCUGUUUUGUCUUCCCUUUGUUGGCCCUUCGGAGUGGCGGCGUGUCCCUCUCUGGGCACUGCUGUUUCCUCCCGGUAUCAGUGCCCCCCACUGAAUGCUCAGGGGACUGGCCUGCCGUGCCCCAGACCUGCAUCACCGCUCAGGAAGUGCCAGCUCUUUCAGGGCUGCUGCCUUCUGGGGCCUUGGUACGCCCUCCUUACUCUCCUCUUGUGCUGCGGCUUAGAAGGGUAGGUAGCCUGCUGCAUCCAAGGCCCUUGGAGAAGGGGCAAAAUUGGAGACACCUUUCUGCUGUGCCCUGGCCCCCCUUUUCCACCACCCUCUCUCCCCUCCAUCUCUCUCUCCCCUCCCCCUCUCCAUAAUAGCAGCAGGUAUGGGAGGUUAAAUAGCCCUGGGAGGGCUCUAUUGAUUAUCAGUGCAACCCAGCUUUAGGAUAAGGGAUCCAUUAUCCUCUCAUUUGGCUCCUCCAUGAGGGACCUGCUUCAGGAAUGGCUGGAUCCAGCUGCUAGGUGGUCAUUCUCCUUUUCCCCAUUAUUUAUUUCUGCCCACUUAAUUUUUUCGAGAAACCUCCCCCUGCUGGGGACAAAAUGAUCCAGCAGCUGCAGGCCCCAAGCCCCACCCUAGUGCUCCCAGCAGGCCAGGUUUGUCUUCUGCUGCAGUUCUCUGGAUGCUGCCUCUGCACUGUGUCCUUCCUGUGGGGUCAGGUGCAGGCACUCAGACCCCCGCAGGGCCCUGGGGAAGGGGUCUGGUAGCAGAGAGGAGGGGGAGGAGCGUAGAUGGCUGGCCCCGGUGGCAGGUGCUGGGCCCAGCAGGACCUACAGAGCGUGAGUUCAGGUGCUGGCCUUUUCAAAAUGGGACGUAGAGGUUCUGCCUCAUAAGCCUUGUUGCCUGACCUGAAAGGGUGAGGACCUCAGGCAGGUGUGGAGUGGGAAGUGGGAUGGUGCUCUUGCCGGUCGUUACAUGGUAAAUAGGAGGUGCUCCGUAGAUGGUUAGGGCUGUGCCCUUAGAUGCUGAAGCUAGAGGCAGAUUUGAGGAGCCAGUGCGUCUUCGUGGGUGUCAGGUUCCAGGCCAGCCUGCUGGGUUGUGGUUCCGGGCUUGCUGCCUCGCCCCGUCCUCUUAAGUAUUUGUGGGGUGACUGCCCUCGUGUGAGGGGAGGCAGACCCAUGAGCCGCUAUGAGCUGCACAUGGAUGAGGAGACCCGCCUGCCGGCCCUGUGCCGCUGCGUUGUGCUGAGCAGGCAGGCCGGCCGCUGUGUCGGAGAGACUGCACUGCUCCAGCUUUCCUCGGAGGUGAUGCUCAGCUCUGGGCUCCCCACUGGCAACUGUCCUGUCACUUUCCGACCCUCCCGACAGGCAGGUCUGCGUCACUUCUCAGUCAUAUGCCAGGACGUCUGGCUCUUGGGAGUUGGGUCUGGCAAUGAUCGCGGGUGACUGCUCACUGCCCACUGCCUGCUGCCUGGGGGCGGGGCCGAGCAGCUCGGCCUUUGACCUUUGUUAGGAAUGUACGUUAGCCCUGGUUUGUGCCAGUUUUCAGGGAUGUUCCAUGGCUGGUCCCCUGAGAUGAAGCCUCUCUCAGGUGUGAGGCCUCUGCCCACCGUGCGACAGGCCACCUGGCAGGCCUGCCUCUGGAAGCACCUUCUGCGCAUACCCCUGGGGCUGCACAAGCUUUCUCCGGAGUCAGUGUGUCCACUCUUGACCAUCACAAUUUCACAUUCUUACGUUUAAUGUGACUGGAUCUUUAAAAACCUGGUCUGGCAGACUUGGUCCUACCCUGACCACUGGUCUGUUUGUGUUUAUUGAAAUUAUUAUAUUUGAAGUUAUUUCUAUCAUCUUACCUCACACUCUAUUUUCCUAUCAUUUUGGGACAGAUUGCUGUUUUCCUCUUUUCUUAGCUUCUUUUGUAUUGAUUAUUUUUUCUUGAUUAUUUUUUCUUAUUUUUUUUUUCUCCUCUAAUAGUUUGGAAUUCAUUCACUCAGCUUCCAUAGUGGCUGCCCUGGGUAUUUUAACACGCAGAAUUCAUUUAUCAAAUCUAAACUUAAUUGAUAUUUUUAGUCUCCUCCAAACAAUUCAAAGCUCUUAGAACUUUAAGAGUCUCAUCACUCCCCUCCCACCUGCAGGCUGGCCUCUCCCUCUCCCAGCCCACAGCUCCUGGCCCUCCUGCUGGGGGCGUCUCUGAGUGGGUCACCAGCUGGGCCCAUCCAAGGCUGUCUCUUCCAUCCCUGCUUCCUCCAAACCGAACAAGAUCAGCUACUGGCCAGGCCCUCAGAUGCCGGACAGCAGAGGGCCCCUUGAUUUCUUCUGCUCCUGGCUUCCUCAGCCUUUGCCCUCUGAGGUUCCAAACUUUCUUCCCAUCUAAUCUAUGGAUUAAAAAAAUUUUUAGUAGUUUUAAA